Molecule: ribosomal RNA, 411 nt
Filed under: Verrucomicrobiota bacterium
Lineage: Bacteria; Pseudomonadati; Verrucomicrobiota
Description: Verrucomicrobia bacterium partial 16S ribosomal RNA
Rfam family: Bacterial small subunit ribosomal RNA
Source: RNAcentral
UGGGGAAUAUUGCGCAAUGGGGGCAACCCUGACGCAGCAACGCCGCGUGCGGGACGACGGCCUUCGGGUUGUAAACCGCUUUUGAUUGGGAGCAAGCUUUCGGGUGAGUGUACCUUUCGAAUAAGCGCCGGCUAACUACGUGCCAGCAGCCGCGGUAAUACGUAGGGCGCAAGCGUUAUCCGGAAUUAUUGGGCGUAAAGAGCUUGUAGGCGGUUCGUCGCGUCUGGUGUGAAAGCCCAUCGCUUAACGGUGGGUUUGCGCCGGGUACGGGCGGGCUAGAGUGCAGUAGGGGAGACUGGAAUUCCCGGUGUAACGGUGGAAUGUGUAGAUAUCGGGAAGAACACCAAUGGCGAAGGCAGGUCUCUGGGCUGUUACUGACGCUGAGAAGCGAAAGCGUGGGGAGCGAACAGG